Molecule: non-coding RNA, 844 nt
Organism: Kogia breviceps (pygmy sperm whale)
Lineage: Eukaryota; Metazoa; Chordata; Mammalia; Artiodactyla; Physeteridae
Source: RefSeq, a predicted model, not a curated record
AGCUGUGGAGUCCACAGCUUGGCUUUGGUGAGCAAAACUAUGCCCUGAAUUGACAGACAGGAAAUACCCUUUGUUAGGAGGACUGGAGAAGAAUGCCCAGAUACCUUGGCCACUACUGCCAUCUCCUGUUCAGAGUGGCUCACCCAGAACUGCCUUUACACGCGUUUGCUGUAAAUUCAAGUGUCAUACCCAGGCCAAACUGAUUCCAGGUGAGAGUCAGGAAUAUUCCCCCAUGCAUUUGAGGCUCCCUGGCAGCCUGUUCAGGAAGCAGCAUCUUUUGGUGGCCAGUGUCAGAAGGUAGUGUGAACAGGAUUGAGGAAGUGAAGACUGAUGUUUGCAGGAAGAGGGAACUGGAAAGAAGAGGUCUCUGUGAGGUGGCGACGUGGUCAAAGAUGGAGGAAAAGAAGACGGCAAGGUGCAUCUACUCUGAGUGUCCUGCAGGAAGCACCACUCUGAAACAGAAACCUCUGUGCAGGCCAUGUGCAAGAGAAUCAAAGGAACAUAGAAAAUCGGACCCUCUUCUGAUUUCAAGAGGGGUCAUCAAAGAAGCCUCAGAUGAAGCUGACUUUUCCAGAUAAGAAGUUAUGGGUAUCCUUGUUGUAUUAUAUAUCUCACCAUCCACCAAGGCUUGGAAAUAACUCACAGCUGCCAUCUGCAAGCUGGAGACCCAGGAAAACUGGUGGUGUAAAUCAGUUGGAGUCCCAAAGCCUGAGAACCAUGGAAGCCCAGGGCAGAAGAUAGAUGCCCCAGCUCAAGCAACUGGACUUGCCUCAUGGGUGUGUCGUGGUGGAAAUAAAAGUGUAAAUGCAAUAAUGCCAAAUGAUGACACUCAACCCUGAAAUAG